RNAcentral lists this ribosomal RNA (208 nucleotides) under uncultured bacterium. RNAcentral describes it as "partial 16S ribosomal RNA". It matches the Rfam family "Bacterial small subunit ribosomal RNA", at positions 568 to 774 of the family's 1533-position model. The record is from RNAcentral.
CGUGUAGGCGGACUCGCAAGUCGGUUGUGAAAUCCCUGGGCUCAACCUAGGAACUGCAUCCGAAACUGCUUGUCUUGAGUAAUGGAGAGGGUGGCGGAAUUCCCGGUGUAGAGGUGAAAUUCGUAGAUAUCGGGAGGAACAUCAGUGGCGAAGGCGGCCACCUGGACAUUUACUGACGCUGAGACGCGAAAGCGGUGGGGAGCAAACA